AUGAACAGUUCAAAGAAUCACUUUAGAGUAGACGUCCCACCUCUGAGCUCUUCUAAAGAGCCACAGAAUCUCCACCCUUGCUGAUGACUGCUAUGUCCUCGAUGCCCUAAAGUGAAGCCGUGUACUCCCGCCUCGACCAUGCAUUACGCCGGCUUUGACACGACGGGUAGUAUUACCUGUUUGGGUCGGGUUGUUGUGGUUUUGUGUUGGUCCAGGGAGUGGUGAUGAUCUUUACCUUGUCUCGAUGUCUUGACUUCGGUCGGUCGGUCUUGGUGGGCGUCGAGGAGGUCUGAAAGGU
This 298-nucleotide small nucleolar RNA is filed under the name Aspergillus cristatus. RNAcentral's name for it is "Fungal small nucleolar RNA U3". It matches the Rfam family "Fungal small nucleolar RNA U3". Rfam says of the family: Small nucleolar RNAs (snoRNAs) are involved in the processing and modification of rRNA in the nucleolus. There are two main classes of snoRNAs: the box C/D class, and the box H/ACA class. U3 snoRNA is a member of the box C/D class. Lineage: Eukaryota; Fungi; Ascomycota; Eurotiomycetes; Eurotiales; Aspergillaceae. The record is from Rfam by way of RNAcentral.